CCUACGGGUGGCAGCAGUGGGGAAUAUUGGACAAUGGGCGAAAGCCUGAUCCAGCCAUGCCGCGUGUGUGAAGAAGGCCUUCGGGUUGUAAAGCACUUUCAGUGGGGAAGAAAGCCUUGGGGCUAAUACCCUCGAGGAAGGACAUCACCCACAGAAGAAGCACCGGCUAACUCCGUGCCAGCAGCCGCGGUAAUACGGAGGGUGCGAGCGUUAAUCGGAAUUACUGGGCGUAAAGCGCGCGUAGGCGGUCUGAUAAGCCGGUUGUGAAAGCCCCGGGCUCAACCUGGGAACGGCAUCCGGAACUGUCAGGCUAGAGUGCAGGAGAGGAAGGUAGAAUUCCCGGUGUAGCGGUGAAAUGCGUAGAGAUCGGGAGGAAUACCAGUGGCGAAGGCGGCCUUCUGGACUGACACUGACGCUGAGGUGCGAAAGCGUGGGUAGCAAACAGGAUUAGAUCCCGAGUAGUC
RNAcentral lists this ribosomal RNA (464 nucleotides) under Vreelandella stevensii. RNAcentral's name for it is "partial 16S ribosomal RNA". It matches the Rfam family "Bacterial small subunit ribosomal RNA", at positions 338 to 795 of the family's 1533-position model. The record is from RNAcentral. Lineage: Bacteria; Pseudomonadati; Pseudomonadota; Gammaproteobacteria; Oceanospirillales; Halomonadaceae.